Molecule: long non-coding RNA, 742 nt
Organism: Bombyx mori (domestic silkworm)
Lineage: Eukaryota; Metazoa; Arthropoda; Insecta; Lepidoptera; Bombycidae
Exons: 2
Source: RefSeq, a predicted model, not a curated record
GGUUUUUGAGCGAUUGAAAGCUGUGCGGUGUUCUGGCUUGUUUUUUCUUCGUAUUAAAGGUGUAAUCGUAAGGUUUGCGCAAGAUAUCAGCUGCAGGGGAAGCGAAGUUCUACCUGUUUUCAUAACACUACGUGUGCGUAGCUCGAUUUACAUAAUGACGUCAGACUCGGCGGCCAUUUUACCGGAAGAUGACGUCAUUAUCAAUCAGCGGAUGCUCGCACACGAUCUGCACAAAGCCCUGAUUAAGGUGUUCCUAUGCAAAGGCAGCCAGUUAACUCAGAGUAUGACUUCAUCGCAAAUUAAUAAUUUGCUAAAGGAAUACAGUUAUAGAGGCAGCGAUUUGAGGUAUAUGUCGUCGAGGCGUCGCGAUACUUACAGUUACAAUUAGAUUAAUUAUUUUCUUGAACUGUAUCGUCGUAUCAAAACGUCAUCAGAAGGGUUUUGGCGAAACGAUUUUUCCCAUUUCGAAUAUUAAAUUCAAAUGAAUUUAUUUGAUAAUAUAUUUAGAUAUUAUAAUUAAGCAAUAAAGUGAAGAUAAAUAUAAGUAUAAUGUGUAGCAAAACGUGAUAUUCAAUUUCUCUUUACUAUUGUUAUUUAGAUUUAUUAUUCUAUAAAAAGGAAAUCAUAAAACUAAAUAAUAAAUGGUAUUAAACAUUGAAACCAAAUUGUAAGAACUAAGUUCAUCUUCAUAUCAGUGUUUUUAUGAUUUUUAUACAUUUAUUAAAAAUAUCAAGUCGUUUUA